UUUUUUAUUUAUUUUUAGAUGUUAUAAUUGCCCACAGCCAAUCACAAUUUUAAUAUCUAAUCUAAUAUUUGCUCUUGAUUUGUUCCAAUUUAACUAUUGUGUUGUAAAGGGAAUAGUCCACAUUUAUAAAGUGCCCACGCCACCAUUGAAAAAGUUAAUUUUGAAUCUAAAUUCGAUUUUAUUUGUAACAAUUUUGUAUUAGACUAUUAAUUUAUUCAUGAUAGUUUGUAAAAGAAGUUUGUAUCCCUUGCAUGUUGCGUUACUUACUAAUUUAAUGUAUGUGACUUUUGUAAUAUAUAUUAAUGUAAGAUAUAUUUGAACUUUACUUUUAUUUGAAUUUUUUAUUUUAAUAUGAUUAACUCAAAAUCGAAAACAAAAAAAAAAUGUAUUAGUUAUUCGGGGAUCGGGGACCCUCGGGGAUCCCCUGUUAUUAUUCGGGGAGGGGAUGGGAAUUCUCUCAAGUAAUUCUGACGGGGACGGGGAGGGGACGGGGACAUACGCAAAAUAUUGGGGAUGGGUACGGGGAGAUCGGUCUCCUCCCCUCCCCUCCCCAUUGCCAUCCCUGCCUAUUACGGAUCUAUAACGAAUAAAAUCAAAUCUAAAUUUGUUUACAAUUCUUUAGAAAAAUAUAAUUAAUAAAUGAAAUUAAGCAAAAUAAAAUAUAAAAAGACAAUAUCCUAACAUCCUACACAAUAGAAAUAAUCCAAAUCCUAUUCGAAGAUUAAAUUAAUAGUCAUCCAAACAAAAAUUACAAAUUCUUAACAAUACAAAUAAUAGUAAUUCAAAUUCAAAUUUUAAACUAGGAGAUUUUUUUAAUUCUCUUCAUUUUGUCUUUGUCGCCUUGAAAACAAGAAUCAUACACCAAAAAGUAAAUAAAAUGAUUAACAUGUUGCAACACUAAUAAAAUGUUGCAACACUAAUAAAAGUCACUAUAAUAUUUUAAAAUAUCAAAUAUAUAACAAAUUUGUGAUAUUGUUAAGGAAAUAAUAAUUAAAUCUACAAAGCCAAGAAAAAUAAGUAAGAUAAAACUUUACCUAUCACACUCCCACAUUGUCAUUAGGAUCAUUAGCACUCUCUGUAGAUGAAGAACUAUUAGUGCUCAUGUUCACAAUGUUUUGACCAAGUUGAUCCAUAGUGACAUCAAAAUUUUCUAUAUAAUUUUUUAAAAAUAAAUCUUAAUUAGAAACAAGUCCUUACAGCAAAACCUUAGAGUCAAACACAGCAAUUUUGUUGAAUUCAGUGAUUAACCUUGUUGGAUUGAAAAAUACUGCAAUCUUAACUAUUAUAAUUAGAAUCACUAAAAUAAUAAAAAUAAUUAUAAUAUUCUAACCAAUAGAUUUAGCUAAUAUUAAUGGCCAUCAUACAAUUUCGAAUCCUCCAAUGCUUUACAACUUUGCGAGUCAAUUCUUGAACAAACAACCUUACCAUCACUUUAAAAUCUUAGUUUAUUAUUGUUUUGAUAAUUUAAAAUCUUAAUCAAAUAGCUUGUGUGAACAUUAUUGCUUAACCAUGAACGUAAUAAUAAACGAAGAUUAAAAAAAUUAAAGAAAAUUCAUUUCAUUGGUUAAAUCACUUACAAGCACACAAAUUUUUUUUUUAUCUACGAGAGUAACAGUUAGCACAAAACCCAUUGCUAAAAAGUUAAAAAAAGAAAAAGAAUUACGGCUUACUGUGUGAUUGUGUUAGAUAAGACGACGUCGGCUGAGAGAUGAAGAAAUUAUUGAGGGCGGAGACUAGAGACAAGGGAGGGAUAUUGGUUGAGAGAUGAAGGGAAAGAGAGGCGAAAUGAUAAAAUGUAAAGAUUAGGGUUGGCUGCCCUAAUUCUUGUUUCACUUAUAUGGCUUGUUUUAUUAUCGUCAAGAAUUACUAUAUUAACCUUCAAAUUUUAAAUUAUAUAUAUAUAUAUAUAUAUAUAUAAAUGAAUAUACCGUAUUUGAUUUAUUUAUUACCCAUUUAUUAAACGAAUCCUAAACGAAUAAAUGAAUCAAUGUCCUUAGUCCCAAAUUCAAUUUGUUUAAUUAGCGAAUUAAAUCGAAUUUACCCAUUUAUUAAAUGAAUUAAUUUCUUCAAACCCAAACCCAUUUAAUUUGCAUUGAAUAGAAUCGAAGAAACAAAUUCUAACUUAAUUGCCACCCUUAACCACACUUUUCAAAUUCUCGCAAAACCAAAUUAGUAUUAACUAGAGGAAAUCCAUAAACUAUAAGCAUAUUACAACAACCUCACAGUAACUCUCAAUUCUCCGGCACUAGACACAAAUUGUCACAAAUUACUAGUACUCCAAUUACAAAAAAAUAAAUAAACAAAGAGAUAGAUAAAAUUACUCCCCCUAACAAUGACAUCAAUUUGCAUGCUCCAUCAAUUAUUUGGGCUCCUCAAUCAUCCAUUCUUUAAUCAACCUAUUUGCAAGUAGUUACAAGAAUUCCUUAUUAAUCAGACAAAACUUAUUUCACCAUUCUUUCUCAAAUCUUCUCAACAUCGAAAGCCAAUUUCAUUCAACCAUUUUUUCAUCAAACAUGUUCAGCUAUUUUUUUUUAACAAUAUCUGGACAUUGGGUUUAAGAGUUCCCAAAGGUAUGACUUAUGAUUAACUUUUUAUUUUAUUCUUUUUUCAUUUUAUUCAAAUUACCAAAAAGAUAUAUUUUUUAACUAAUGUUCUUGUAAAGUGACUAGGUUACUACUAUCUUAUAGAUGCUGGAUGUUGAAGUAUUCUUUACAAUUGAUAGAGGAACACGAUAUCACUUGUCAGAAUGGAGAGAUGGGUGUGCUCCUAAGAACAAAGAAGAGUUCUUUAACACGAAACAUUCUUUGGCAAUAAACAUUAUAGAAUGAUGUUUCGAUUUACUCAAAAUGCAAUGGGCUAUACUAUGAAGUCUAUCUUUUUAUCCAAUCAAAACGUAGUGCCAUAUUAUUAUUGCUUGCUAUUUACUACAUAAUUUAGUUAGGAGAGAAAUGUCAAUAGAUCCCAUUGGAGCAUGAAUUACUUGAGAUAGAUGAUAAUAAAGUACAAGAUAGAAGUAACAUAACCAUUGUUGAAGCUUCAGAUCAAUGGAUUAGGUGGAGAAAUGAUUUAGCAGAUGCAAUGUAUAAUGAAUGGCUUGGAAACUGAGGCUAACAUAUUUUUCAUUAGGAUUUUAUUUCAGGGUUGUGACAUUAUAUUUAUGUAGUACUUUGUGAUUUGUUUAUCUAUCAAUUUAAAGUUGCAAUAUUUUUUUAAUAUUUUAAGUUAAGAAUUAUGGUAAUUUUACAGUUUAAAUUAUAUUUCAAAAAAUAUAAUGAAAUCAACAUAUAAGAAUGGAGGAGGAUGAAGGUACAAGCCACACUGGUGGAAACAAGGUGCGUAUAAGGCCAGCAUGGGCAAAUGUUGAAGAACAAGCACUGUUGGAUGCACUAGAUGCAGUGGUCGUAAGUGGUGGUCAUGCUGAUAAUGGAUUCAAAUCCGUUACAUUUAGACAUCUUGAAAAGGUACCAAAUCAAAAGUUGCCAAAUUGUGGUCCGAAUGCUCCUUCUCAUAUUGAGAGGUUAGGAAAUGUAAGAAACAAUGUGGGUUUAUAUUUGAGAUGCUGAACAUGAGUAAUUUUGGAUGGAAUGAUGUGAAAAAAUGGGUGGAGGUUGAUAAUGAUGAAGUUUGGAAUUCAUAUGUGUAGGUUAGUGAAAAUUUAAAAAAAAAUGGAUUUAUUUACUCUCAUUUAUAGGUUUUUAAAAUUUUCUUUUUAGAGAUUGAUAACUAUUUAGCAAUUGUUAUGUUUAGGUUUAUUAAAUUUUUGAAAUUUUGACUAUUUACUACAUUUAAAUUUAAUAUUUUUUACUAUUUACUGUAUCUAACUACAUCUUGAUUAAAUAUUUUGUAAUCUCAUAACACAAUAAUUAAGAAACUGGAGAAACAAGGCAUUCUCACUUUAUGAAAGAUUGGCAAACAUAUUUGGAAAGGACCGUGCUACUCAACAUGCAUGCUGAUACAAAAGACGAAGCAAAUCAAGAAGAAAUUAGCGAUGAUGAUAAUGAAAUAGAUGAUGGAUGUUCUCCAAUAUCAGCAACACCACUUUUAAGUUCUCAGCACAUUACUCGAUCACUCACAACAACGAAAUAGGAAGAGAUCUAGUCAGAGGGUGACCUGCAUGCUGGCAUUGAUACGAUUGCUAAUCUUAUCAGCCAAUCAUUUGAAAACAUGAAUACAAUAGCUCAACACAUGUUUGAUAACAAAAAAGAUCGUUUUGACAUUUUUUAUGAACUUUCAACAAUGUGACCUUCUAUUGAAGAAGAACUUCUAGCCCUAGAGUUAAUUCUAAAGGAACCCCAUAAUAUUUUAGUUUUUAAGUCCUCACAAGGUGAGUGUAAGUUAACAUUUGCUCAUAAGCUCUUACGAAGAGCACGAGGUUGAUAUGUUGCUUAAAACAACUGCGAUAUUUUAAAGUCGAUAAUAUUUUAGUAUAGAAAAGAAGUGUGUACUAAACACGACCCAAUAUUUUAUUAUAGUAUUAUAGCAUGUGAGUGCAUGUGUGUACUUAACACAACCAUAUAUUUUGGUAUAGUAUUGUUUCAAUAUUGUAUUAUUAAGUUGAAUAAAUUUUUGUAAACUUUUGAAUGACUAUGUAAUUUGAUUAGAAUUACUUUGAAUAAUUUUCACAAUAAAUGUGUAGAAAAAUUAUGUGUUGAAAUUUUUUAAAACUUAUAGUUUCAUAAAUAAAUAUAAAAAUCUUAAAUUUGUAUGUAAGUAUUUUUGUAUAUAAAAUUAUUUUUUAGCAUAUCCAUCCUUUUUAGCAUUCAAACAUAAUUACAUGUUCUAAGGAUUAUGAUAUUUGAUAUAAAAUGGUUAGUUAUUUACUUAAAUUAUUUAUUUUUGACAAAAAUUAAUUGCCAAACAUAGGACAAUUGAUAAUAAUACAAUACAGCGCAGCAUCAAAUGUUGUACAAUUUAUACAACAAGUCAAUAAAUACUAUUCUAAUACAACACACUCCAAUACAAUACAAUACAAUACAAUACAGUAUAGUGUGGCUCACCAAAGCAAUACUCGUUGAUUGACUCCAAGUUGCGUUAUUAUCACCAUUGAAUAGCUUGGUGACCAAACUAAUUCUUGGAAGAUUUGAGAAAUGAAGAUAAAAUAUUUCCUUUGGAUGGCCAGUCAGAAAGAACUAUUCAGAUGCUUGAAGAUAUGUUGUGAGAAUGUGCUAUCGACUUUCAAGGAUCAUGAAGCAAUUUUCCAAUGGUUGAAUUUGCCUACAACAAUAACUACCAAGCAACAAUUAGCAUGGCACCAUAUGAAGCUCCAUAUGGUAGAAAAUGUAGGUCACCUAUUUCAUUAGGAUGAGAUAGGCGAGCUAAGGUAUCUUGGAGUCGACUUAAUUACUGUCUCAUCGGAAGCGAUCGGGAAAAUACGUCAAAGAAUGUAGGCAGCUCAAAGUUGAUAGAAAAGUUAUGAGGAUAAAAGGCGAAGUGCUUUGGAAUUUCAAGUUGGUGACAAAGUAUUUCUAAAAGUUGCCCCAGUAAAAGGAUCAAUGAGAUUUAGGAACAAAGGAAAAUUAAGUCUGAGGUUUAUUAGACCAUUUGAAAUACUUGAACUUAUCAGGAAUAUUUUUUACUGACUUGCCCUCCCACCAUCGUUAUUAAGAAUACGCAAUGUCUUUCAUGUCUCCAUACAUGUUCCAAACUCCUCUCAUGUGCUAGAUUAUAAGCCUCUUCAAUUAGAAAAAGACUUAACCUAUGAAGAACGUCCAAUUCAAAUUCUUGAUAGAAAGAUAAAAGAAUUAAGGAACAAAAAGAUCCAUUUAAUUAAAAUACUAUAGCAAAAUAGCUCAGUGGAAGAGGCAACAUGGGAAUGUGAGGAAGAGAUGAAGAAUAAGUAUUGUGAGCUAUUUAGUAAGUAAAUUUCAAGGAUGAAAUUUUCUUAAAAGGGGAGGAAAUUAUGAGGUACAACUUUCUCACUUGAAUAUAAUAUAAUUAACUUUAAGCUAAGAAGCCCCCUUAAGUAUAAUAAUAAUAAUAAUAUAAAUAUUUAAUUCUAAAGUAAUGAUGGCAUGAGCAAUGACAUAAGUGGUGAUGCAAUAAGAGAUGUUUGUAGAGAUAGUUAGGAAUUCUAUAAUUUACUAAGAUAUUUAUGGAAGGAUAAUCUCAACCAUUAAUCAAGAGUUAUUGUGGCAAAAUCCUAACCAUCCAUUAACUUUAGGAAAUCCUAUAAAUACCUCUUAGGCCUUUCGUUUUCUAUAUAAAAAAAUAAGAAUUCAAUCAUCUUCUAUUCUAAGUCAUAACAUUAAGAGUAGAGAAAUCUUCAAGUUUGAAAGGUCUAGAGAAGUCAAGGUUAAAAGAUAAAUAACACUUCAACUGCAAUGUAGGGACAAAAUCCUAUUUAUACUUAACUUCAACUUUACCUAAUCCUUUUUCUUGUGAUGGCUACUAUAAUGUGAUUGGUUAUAAUCUAAAUUUUUAUAUGGAUGACUAUGCCACCUAUAUUAUGGUAUUUUCUUAUUUAUCUUUAUUUGGUUAGCUAGGCUGCCUAUAUUAUGAUAUUUUCUUAUUUACUCAUUGUAUGGUCGGCUAUGCCGCCUAAUCUGUGAUACUUUUACUUAAUUAUACUAUGGUUGGCUCUGCUGCAUAUAUUAUAAUACCAUUUUGUUUAAUCUCUAUAUGAAUGGCAAUGCUGCCUAAAUUAAAGAUUGUUGUCCUUAAUUAAUGUUGUGUCUUGAUUAUGUUGUACAUUUAGGAACUUCACAUGUUAUGACCUAAGUUGCAUUAAACACGUGCAUUUCAUGGAUUACUUUAUAAAGAAAACUUUUUUUUUUUAAAAAAAAAGAGAAUUUUUGAAAAAUGGGUUGUUGUACUACCAAGUGGCAAAGUUCCCAAAGAGGGAAAGCUCUCUAAGCUAAGUAAAAAGUAAUCUUUUGGAGACGGCGAUAUGUAAUGCCCAAAAGAUCAACUAAUUAGACUCAAGGGCAUGUUGUUUUAAAGAAUAAAAGUGCUAGCCUUUUAGUGCAACAUACCUGGGGCCCUAAUAAAGUUGUUUUGUAUUUCUAAGUUUCUUUUAAAAACUUAAUAAGGUCAUCUAUAUGCAUAAUCAUUUAAACAUGCAUCAAAGUGUUAUCUUACUAGACAUUGUCUCAUAAAGUCCUUACACUGCAGGUAACGAUGAGUACGGCAAGCUGACGCCAAGUCCCAAUCGAGGCAAAGUGCUUAUGAGCAUAACAAAUCUUGUGUUUUAUGAUGGAGCUUUGGUUCUAUUAAAAAAUAAAUAUCUUAACCUUAUGUAAUAAUAAAAAUUUUAGAUUCAUACUAAGGAAUCUUUGCAUGUCUCUUACAUUUUAUAACAAAGUUUUGCAUGUUAUGUAAAACUUUUUUUAUAAUCCGUAUUUAUAUUAAAAGUAGCG
RNAcentral lists this long non-coding RNA (7355 nucleotides) under Citrus x clementina. RNAcentral describes it as "Citrus clementina (C. clementina) long non-coding RNA (CCLE_LNC000979)". The record is from RNAcentral. Lineage: Eukaryota; Viridiplantae; Streptophyta; Magnoliopsida; Sapindales; Rutaceae.